Molecule: ribosomal RNA, 483 nt
Filed under: uncultured bacterium
Lineage: Bacteria
Description: partial 16S ribosomal RNA
Rfam family: Bacterial small subunit ribosomal RNA
Source: RNAcentral
UGGGGAAUCUUCCGCAAUGGACGAAAGUCUGACGGAGCAACGCCGCGUGAGUGAAGAAGGUUUUCGGAUCGUAAAACUCUGUCUUUUGGGGCGAACGUGAGUAUGGUGAACAAUCAUAGUCAGUGACGGUACCAAAGGAGGAAGCCACGGCUAACUACGUGCCAGCAGCCGCGGUAAUACGUAGGUGGCAAGCGUUGUCCGGAAUUAUUGGGCGUAAAGAGCGCGUAGGCGGGAUAGUCAGUCUGUUGUAAAAGUGCGGGGCUCAACCCCGUGAUGGCAAUGGAAACAGCUAUUCUUGAGUGCAGGAGAGGAAAGUGGAAUUCCCAGUGUAGCGGUGAAAUGCGUAGAUAUUGGGAGGAACACCAGUGGCGAAGGCGACUUUCUGGACUGUGUCUGACGCUGAGGCGCGAAAGCCAGGGGGAGCGAACGGGAUUAGAUACCCCGGUAGUCCUGGCCGUAAACGAUGGGUACUAGGUGUGGGGG